AUGGCUGUCGUCAGCUCGUGUCGUGAGAUGUUGGGUUAAGUCCCGCAACGAGCGCAACCCUUGUCAUUAGUUGCUACAUUAAGUUGGGCACUCUAAUGAGACUGCCGGUGACAAACCGGAGGAAGGUGGGGACGACGUCAAGUCCUCAUGGCCCUUAUGGGUAGGGCUACACACGUCAUACAAUGGCGCAUACAGAGGGCUGCCAACCCGCGAGGGGGAGCAAAUCCCAGAAAGUGCGUCGUAGUCCGGAUUGAAGUCUGCAACUCGACUUCAUGAAGUCGGAAUCGCUAGUAAUCGCGGAUCAGCAUGUCGCGGUGAAUACGUUCCCGGGCCUUGUACACACCGCCCGUCACACCAUGGGAGUGGGUUUCACCAGAAGCAGGUAGCCUAACCGCAAGGAGGGCGCCUACCACGGUGAGAUUCAUGACUGGGGUGAAGUCGUAACAAGGUAGCCGUAUCGGAAGGUGCGGCUGGAUCACCUCCUUUCUAGAGACAAGCUUUACUUCAGCGUCCACAACCUAUCGGUUGUUUUGUGAAUACAGGGGCUUGAGGCUGGGGACUAGGGGCAGGAGCAAGAAAUCCCUGAGGCCUCGGUCGCCAGACCCUGAAAUUCAGGGUCUGUAGCUCAGUUGGUUAGAGCACCGUCUUGAUAAGGCGGGGGUCGAUGGUUCGAAUCCAUCCAGACCCACCAGCUUUCUUAUCGAGGGGGUGUAGCUCAGUUGGGAGAGCGCCUGCUUUGCAAGCAGGAGGUCAUCGGUUCGAUCCCGUUCACCUCCACCAAUUUUGGAAAGGGAGAAGUCGCAGGAUGAAAGCAGGAGUUUCCGCCUGAAGAGUUUUCCAGAGAGAUCACAAGCAAGCCACGAGGCUUGCUUCUGGUCUUUUGACCGGAGAGGCUGUUUGCUCUUUAACAAUUUGGAAGAAGCAAGUGCAUCGAUCUCCCAAGAUCGAUGCAUGGGUUGUGAUUGCAUUCAAAACGGCUUCACCUUAGUCGGGUGGAGCCGGCACAAGCGUGAGAAUUAAUUCCUGUAGCUGCGAGCUUCGUUCUCAAGCGAGGCCUCAAGGUUAUAGGGUCAAGCAAGCAAGUGCAUAUGGUGGAUGCCUUGGCGAUCACAGGCGAUGAAGGACGUAGUAGCUUGCGAAAAGCUGCGGGGAGCCGGCAAACAGGCUUUGAUCCGCAGAUGUCCGAAUGGGGAAACCCGG
This 1200-nucleotide small RNA is filed under the name uncultured Xanthomonas sp. RNAcentral's name for it is "bacterial SSU rRNA". The stretch from base 1 to 486 matches the Rfam family "Bacterial small subunit ribosomal RNA", at positions 1045 to 1533 of the family's 1533-position model. Lineage: Bacteria; Pseudomonadati; Pseudomonadota; Gammaproteobacteria; Lysobacterales; Lysobacteraceae. The record is from RNAcentral.